AAUAUUGGACAAUGGGCGAAAGCCUGCUCCAGCCAUCCCGCGUGUGUGAAGAAGGCCUUCGGCUUGUAAAGCACUUUCAGUUGGGAGGGAGGGUUGUAGGUUACUAUCCUGCAAUUUUGACGUUACCAACAGAAUAAGCACCGGCUAACUUCGUGCCAGCAGCCCCGGUAAUACGAAGGGUGCAAGCGUUAAUCGGAAUUACUGGGCGUAAAGCGCGCGUAGGUGGUUCGUUAAGUUGGAAGUGAAAGCCCCGGGAUUAACCUGGGAAUUGCUUUCAAAACUGACGAGCGAGAGUACGGUAGAGGGUAGUGGAAUUUCCUGUGUAGCGGUGAAAUGCGUAGAUAUAGGAAGGAACAUCAGUGGCGAAGGCGACUACCUGGACUGAUACUGACACUGAGGUGCGAAAGCGUGGGGAGCAAACA
Molecule: ribosomal RNA, 422 nt
Filed under: uncultured bacterium
Lineage: Bacteria
Description: partial 16S ribosomal RNA
Rfam family: Bacterial small subunit ribosomal RNA
Source: RNAcentral